AAGGCUGCGGGGAGAGCGGCCGGUGUGUGCGCCUCGCCUCGCUGGAAGUCCGUGCGUGUGCGGGUGAACUAGUGAUCGUGGCAAAGCAGAGAGAGAGAGAGAUGUAGCAGCGCAGCUCACCGGGGACGCUCCGUGGCCACCGUCUCGUCUGUCCACUUCCACGUCUACUACCCCCAUCUGUCCGGCAUUACCGACGCGCAAUGGGGACGCUCUGAGGCGGAGGAGGAGCCGCGUUUGUGUGAGACGGAGCCGCGCGAUGCGACCGAGGAGAGCCGGCUGUCGGAGGAUCUACUGCGGCUUCGGCGCUGGUUCGUUGGAGUAGCUUGUGCUAGCGCGCGGGGGGCUAGCGCCUGGCGCUGGCUUCUGCCGUCAAGAUGCUGCGCUGGAUACGACAGCAGCUGGGCUUUGACCCCCCCCAUCAGAGUGACACCAGGACCAUUUAUGUAGCAAACCGUUUCCCCCAGCAUGGCCACUACAUACCACAGCGCUUUGCAGACAACAGAAUCAUCUCGUCCAAGUACACAGUUUGGAACUUCGUCCCUAAGAAUCUGUUUGAGCAGUUUCGCAGGAUAGCGAACUUCUAUUUCCUCAUCAUCUUCCUGGUGCAGUUAAUGAUAGACACUCCAACUUCCCCAAUCACCAGUGGGCUCCCUCUCUUCUUUGUGAUCACGGUUACGGCUAUUAAACAGGGCUACGAGGACUGGCUGAGGCACAAAGCGGACAAUGAGGUCAACGGAGCGCCGGUGUAUGUGGUCCGCAGUGGGAGUCUGGUGCAGACGAGAUCUAAAAAUAUCAGGGUCGGGGACAUCGUCCGUGUCGCCAAGGAUGAGACGUUCCCCGCCGACCUGGUCUUGCUGUCGUCGGACCGUGCAGAUGGCACCUGUCACAUCACCACCGCCAGCCUCGACGGAGAGACCAACCUUAAGACCCAUUUUUCGGUGCCAGAGACGUCAGUGUGCCAGUCGGUGUCCCAGCUGGAGGCCUUGAAGGCUGUGGUGGAGUGUCAGCAGCCGGAAGCUGACCUUUACAGAUUUGUAGGACGCGUAACUAUAACCCAGCAUGAAGAGGAGAUCGUCAGACCGCUGGGUCCAGAGAACCUGCUGCUGCGAGGAGCAAGGUUGAAAAAUACCAAAGAGAUUUUUGGUGUGGCAGUUUACACUGGGAUGGAGUCCAAGAUGGCGCUCAACUAUAAGUGCAAGUCCCAGAAACGCUCUGCGGUGGAGAAGUCAAUGAACACCUUCCUGAUCAUCUACCUGGUCAUCCUGCUGUUUGAGGCCAUCCUCAGCACCAUUCUGAAGUACGCCUGGCAGGCUGAGGACAAAUGGGACGAGCCGUUCUAUAAUCAGAAGACUGAACAGGAGAGAAACAGCAGUCCGAUCCUUAAGUUCAUUUCAGACUUCUUGGCAUUCCUGGUGCUGUAUAACUUUAUCAUCCCCAUCUCACUCUACGUUACUGUGGAGAUGCAGAAGUUUCUGGGCUCCUUUUUCAUUGGCUGGGAUUUAGACCUGUACCAUGAGGAAAGUGACCAGAAAGCUCAGGUCAACACGUCUGAUCUGAAUGAAGAGUUGGGCCAGGUCGAGUACGUGUUCACAGACAAGACAGGCACGCUAACCGAAAAUGAGAUGCAGUUCCGGGAGUGUUCGAUAAAUGGCGUCAAGUACCGGGAAAUGAACGGCAAGCUGGUACCAGAGGGGAUGACCGAAGACUCGCCAGAUGGUUCAUCACCUCGCCUGAUGGGGGAGGAGAUAUUGUUCCUCAAGGCCGUGUCGCUGUGUCACACAGUUCAGAUCAGCUACGACCAGCCCGACUCGCUGCUGGGAGGGGAUCCCUUCUCCCACGCCAACGGCUUCUCCUCCAACCACAUGGAGUACUACGCCUCCUCGCCUGACGAAAAGGCUUUGGUCGAGGCAACAAAGAGAAUCGGAGUGGCUUUCACGGGCUGCAGCGGAGACACCAUGGAGAUCAAAACAUUUGGGAAAUCUGAAAAGUAUAAACUGCUCCACGUGUUGGAGUUCGAUCCAAAUCGAAGGAGGAUGAGCGUCAUCCUGCAGGCUCCCUCAGGAGGGACAGUGCUUUUCACAAAGGGUGCUGAGUCUGCCAUCCUGCCUUUCUCCACUAAUGGAGAGAUCGAAAAAACAAGGCUGCAUGUGGACGAGUUCGCCUUGAAAGGUUUGCGUACCCUUGUUGUAGCGUGUCGCCACUUCAGUCCAGAGGAGUACAUCGAUGUGGACAAGCGCCUGACUUCUGCUCGCACGGCUCUGCAGCAGAGGGAGGAGAAACUACAGGAAGCCUUCGCCUACAUCGAAAGAGAUCUGCAGCUCCUGGGAGCAACCGGGGUGGAAGACAAACUUCAAGAAAAGGUUCAGGAGACAAUCGAAGCGCUGCGGCUGGCGGGAAUCAAAGUGUGGGUGCUGACCGGGGACAAACACGAGACGGCGGUCAGCGUCAGCUUGUCAUGUGGCCACUUCCACAGAACCAUGAACAUCUUGGAGCUUCUGCAGCAGCGCUCCGACAACGAGUGUGCAGAGCAGCUCCGCAGACUGGCCCGCAGGAUAAAAGAAGACCACGUUAUUCAGCACGGCUUGGUCGUAGAUGGGGCCAGUCUGUCUUUAGCGUUGAGGGAACAUGACAAACUAUUCAUGGAAGUGUGUAAAAACUGCUCGGCGGUGCUCUGCUGCCGUAUGGCCCCGCUGCAAAAAGCAAAGGUCGUCCGUCUGCUCAAGACUUCUCCAGAAAAGCCGAUAACAUUGGCUAUCGGCGACGGAGCCAACGAUGUCAGCAUGAUACAGGAAGCUCAUGUGGGCAUAGGUAUCAUGGGAAAGGAGGGUCGUCAGGCCGUGAGAAACAGCGACUAUGCAAUAGCUAGGUUUAAGUUCCUGGCCAAACUACUGCUGGUCCACGGUCACUUCUACUACAUUCGAAUAGCUACUCUUGUACAGUACUUUUUCUACAAGAAUGUGUGUUUUAUUACGCCACAGUUUUUAUACCAGUUCUUCUGCUUGUUUUCACAACAAACUCUGUACGACAGCGUUUACCUGACGCUGUACAACAUCUGCUUCACCUCGCUGCCCAUCCUCGUCUACAGUCUGUUUGAGCAGCUGGUCCAUCCCGACGCGCUGCAGAGUAAGCCGGGCCUGUACAGAGAUAUCAGCAAGAACUCCAUGCUGUCUUUCCGGACGUUCCUGUACUGGACCUUGUUGGGCUUCGGUCACGCCUUCAUCUUUUUCUUUGGGUCCUACAUACUGAUGGGCGAGGACACGACACUCAUGGGCAACGGACAGAUGUUGCGAGCUAACAGGCAGCUGAUGUUUGGGAACUGGACGUUUGGGACACUCGUUUUUACGGUUAUGGUCAUCACUGUCACUUUAAAGCUUGCGUUAGAGACUCAGUUUUGGACCUGGAUGAAUCAUUUCGUGACAUGGGGCUCAAUCGCUUUCUAUUUCAUCUUCUCUCUGUUUUACGGAGGCAUUAUCUGGCCGUUCCUGCACACCCAGGACAUGUACUUCGUAUUUGUCCAGCUGCUGUCCAGCGGUUCAGCCUGGUUCGCCAUCAUAAUCAUCGUCAUCACCUGCCUGUUUCCUGACGUGGUGAAGAAGGUCUUCUACAGACAUCUGUGUCCCACCAGCACACAGAAGAGUCAGAUGUAUUCCAACCGAGUGGUCAUAGGUGACGACUUCAUCGCUCUGCAGCCUUUGUCCAGAGCCAAGAGCCAGCUGGGCAAAAUUAGUCUCUAUCAGCCCCCCAGGCGCAGGCCCUCAGCUGUGUGGAGUCCCUGUGCUGCUACCAGCAUGGCCAAAGCGGCUGUUCCCGUCUGGCCCGCCUCCUGGAGCAAAUGAGCGGACGAUGCAAGACCGGCGUCAACGAUUGCCACGCGUCCGGCCACCGCAGCAACAGGUCUUGGAGCGACACAGAGAACUUCUACUCCAACGAUCGCAGCAUCCUGACUCUGUCGCCCAUCGAGGCCAGCCGCUGUUGACUCCCGCCGCCGCCGCCGCCCUUAAAACACGCCUCCGGUGGGGGAGCGCGCCACCAAUCAGCCGCCAGUCCUAAUUACUCCCCCCUGGUACCGUUUUUUUAUGAGCCCACUCCAGUUUAAAGUCAGGGACUCGGCUCUGUUGCACAGCCUGAACCUCUUCUGUGUCCCCGGGUCGGUCGUUUCUUAGAAAGACGAGCGUCAGAGGAACUGAAACGAGUCCGCCCGGUUGGCCGUAGCCCUUCGUGUCGGCAGAUACAAUCAGGACACGAGCAGGAAAUAUCAGAUUCCAAGACUGCGAGUCCUGGAAGGUGAACCGAAGACACAUUUUUUUUUUAAAAAGUCUCGGUUGUUCCCCGCGGAGAUUUAGCUUGUUUGGUUUCUCUGAGCAGCUGCCAGACUCCUGAAUCUUGGUGACACCUCCCACGUUCCGGUCUGUAUUUUGUUUUUUUUCUACUAACGUCGACGACAAUUGCUAAAGCACAGCUCAAAAUGUUCAGGCAGGGAAAGUUUUAGACGAUUCUUCCAGGAGUCCCUGAGCUGUCCGAUCCACUGCUGCACCUUAAAAUCCCCGUUCAGAUCAGAUCCUGUAGCGUCCGGAGGUUUCUGCUGAACCUGCAACUUAAACUCACCUGGUACCAAAGACCAAAGGCUCAAGACUGGAGUUUAAGGGUUUAUUUUUGUGCCUGAUUGUACAGAAGCCCGUAUUGUUUAGUAGUUUUGUGUUCGUGUCUCUCCCCGGCGCGGAGCUCUGGAACGGGCCGGGUGUUUCUAAAAGCCAUACACGUAGAAGAGGAGAAUAUAUUUCUGAUAAUUCAGCUGCAGAUAAAAGCUGCUAGAGCCUCUAGUUUCCUUGUACCUGUUCCCCCCCCAGAAAAAAUGCCUUUUACUCCAGCAGCCUGGUGACCAAAAGCCUCUCAGCGUUACAGAAGCGCCCCGAGUAGCGCUUCAGUCGAGUUUAGGCCGGACAGAAUCGAGCGUAGCGGCGAGAAGCUUCUGGAAAGCGGCGGCUGGAGUUCAUCGAAGUAGACGGAAGAAUGUUUGGUGUCCAGAGAAAAUCCCUUCGGAAGGAGGGAAGAGCUGAGCGUUUGCACAAAUCUCAUGUCAGCGUCACAUUUUCUGGGCUGUCGUUGCUUUUAAAAAAAAAAAAAAAAA
Fundulus heteroclitus (mummichog) is the source of this 5128-nucleotide RNA transcript. It is a transcript of the gene named ATPase phospholipid transporting 11B (putative), with no coding region annotated. The transcript is spliced from 32 exons. The record is from RefSeq and is a predicted model, not a curated record. Lineage: Eukaryota; Metazoa; Chordata; Actinopteri; Cyprinodontiformes; Fundulidae.